Molecule: ribosomal RNA, 500 nt
Filed under: uncultured bacterium
Lineage: Bacteria
Description: partial 16S ribosomal RNA
Rfam family: Bacterial small subunit ribosomal RNA
Source: RNAcentral
AUUGAACGCUGGCGGCAUGCCUUACACAUGCAAGUCGAACGGCAGCACGGGAGCAAUCCUGGUGGCGAGUGGCGAACGGGUGAGUAAUAUAUCGGAACGUGCCCAGUCGUGGGGGAUAACGCAGCGAAAGCUGUGCUAAUACCGCAUACGAUCUAAGGAUGAAAGCGGGGGAUCGCAAGACCUCGCGCGAUUGGAGCGGCCGAUAUCAGAUUAGCUAGUUGGUGGGGUAAAGGCCCACCAAGGCGACGAUCUGUAGCUGGUCUGAGAGGACGACCAGCCACACUGGAACUGAGACACGGUCCAGACUCCUACGGGAGGCAGCAGUGGGGAAUUUUGGACAAUGGGCGCAAGCCUGAUCCAGCAAUGCCGCGUGCAGGAUGAAGGCCUUCGGGUUGUAAAGCACUUUUGUUCGGGACGAAACGGUUUGGGCUAAUACCCUGAGCUAAUGACGGUACCGAAAGAAUAAGCACCGGCUAACUACGUGCCAGCCGCCGCCGUAA